ACCCAAAAGAUCGAAUGGGGAGAUUCAUCGUCAGCUCAUUUUAUAUAUAUGCAAGUUAUGAUAUGGGUUACUACUCUGUGUAGUAUUGCCUGUACAUUCUUGUAUAUUUGAUGUAAGAUGUUGUCGGCGUGCACUUCUCCCCUAGUAGGACGUCGCGACCCGUUGAGUUGUUGGUCUACGGCCCAAGUGGGAGCUUUUAAUGAAUUUUAUUCAUUGAAAACCCUUGGUGUCUCCUGACUGGCGCUCGUCGGUAUUCGUAUGGUAUUGAGCCGCAUAUUAUAUGCGUCCAUAUCUGUCGCAAGCGAGGUUACACACUGAUAGUGCGGACCCAGUGCCGUCUGUUGUGCUAACCAGCUGUUGGUUGUACAGAAUUCUAGGACUGGCUCGUUGAAAUACCGCUCAGCGAUGCUAC
Molecule: ribosomal RNA, 412 nt
Filed under: Digonogastra sp. 4
Lineage: Eukaryota; Metazoa; Arthropoda; Insecta; Hymenoptera; Braconidae
Description: eukaryotic LSU rRNA
Source: RNAcentral